This 447-nucleotide ribosomal RNA is filed under the name uncultured bacterium. Its description in RNAcentral is "partial 16S ribosomal RNA". It matches the Rfam family "Bacterial small subunit ribosomal RNA", at positions 29 to 523 of the family's 1533-position model. The record is from RNAcentral.
AACGAACGCUGGCGGCAGGCUUAACACAUGCAAGUCGAACGCCCCGCAAGGGGAGUGGCAGACGGGUGAGUAACGCGUGGGAAUCUACCCAUCCCUACGGAACAACUCCGGGAAACUGGAGCUAAUACCGUAUACGCCCUACGGGGGAAAGAUUUAUCGCUGUUGGAUGAGCCUCUAUCGGAUUAGCUAGUUGGUAGGGUAAUGGCCUACCAAGGCAAUGAUCCGUAGCUGGUCUGAGAGGAUGAUCAGCCACACUGGAACUGAGACACGGUCCAGACUCCUACGGGAGGCAGCAGUGGGGAAUAUUGGACAAUGGGCGAAAGCCUGAUCCAGCAAUACCGCGUGAAUGAUGAAGGCCUUCGGGUUGUAAAAUUCUUUUAGUGGGGAAGAUAAUGACGGUACCCACAGAAAAAGCACCGGCUAACUUCGUGCCAGCCGCCGCGGUAA